UGGCCUUGCGCCGGCGACGGUUCAUUCAAAUUUCUGCCCUAUCAACUUUCGAUGGUAAGGUAUUGGCUUACCAUGGUUUCAACGGGUAACGGGGAAUUAGGGUUCGAUUCCGGAGAGGGAGCGUGAGAAACGGCUACCACAUCCAAAGAAGGCAGCAGGCGCGCAAAUUACCCAAUCCCGACACGGGGAGGUAGUGACAAUAAAUACUGAUACAGGGCUCUUUUGGGUCUUGUAAUCGGAAUGAGUACAAUUUAAACCCCUUAACGAGGAACAGUUGGAGGGCAAGUCUGGUGCCAGCAGCCGCGGUAAUUCCAGCUCCAAUAGCGUAUAUUAAAGUUGCUGCAGUUAAAAAGCUCGUAGUUGAACCUUGGGCCUGGCUGGCCGGUCCGCCUCACCGCGUGUACUGGUCCGGCCGGGCCUUUCCUUCUGGGGAGCCCCAUGCCCUUCACUGGGUGUGCGGGGGAACCAGGACUUUUACUUUGAAAAAAUUAGAGUGUUCAAAGCAGGCCUUUGCUCGAAUACGUUAGCAUGGAAUAAUAGAAUAGGACGUGCGAUCCUAUUUUGUUGGUUUCUAGGACCGCCGUAAUGAUUAAUAGGGACAGUCGGGGGCAUCAGUAUUCAAUUGUCAGAGGUGAAAUUCUUGGAUUUAUUGAAGACUAACUACUGCGAAAGCAUUUGCCAAGGAUGUUUUCAUUAAUCAGUGAACGAAAGUUAGGGGAUCGAAGACGAUCAGAUACCGUCGUAGUCUUAACCGUAAACUAUGCCGACUAGGGAUCGGGCGAUGUUUUUAUCUUGACUCGCUCGGCACCUUACGAGAAAUCAAAGUUUUUGGGUUCUGGGGGGAGUAUGGUCGCAAGGCUGAAACUUAAAGAAAUUGACGGAAGGGCACCACCAGGCGUGGAGCCUGCGGCUUAAUUUGA
This 920-nucleotide ribosomal RNA is filed under the name uncultured eukaryote. RNAcentral's name for it is "SSU rRNA". It matches the Rfam family "Eukaryotic small subunit ribosomal RNA", at positions 274 to 1198 of the family's 1831-position model. The record is from RNAcentral.